This is a long non-coding RNA of Lynx canadensis (Canada lynx), 129 nucleotides long. RefSeq lists it as uncharacterized. NCBI's taxonomy places the organism in Eukaryota, Metazoa, Chordata, Mammalia, Carnivora, Felidae. The record is from RefSeq and is a predicted model, not a curated record. The transcript is spliced from 3 exons.
CAGGGCUGAACCUGUUGUGCCAAGGUCACAAGUCAUAAAUGAAGGUCCUCACAUGUAGUAUCCUUCUUGGCCCAGUCUUAAAAGUCCACACUGGGGCGCCUGGGUGGCGCAGUCGGUUAAGCGUCCGAC